This 454-nucleotide ribosomal RNA is filed under the name uncultured bacterium. RNAcentral's name for it is "partial 16S ribosomal RNA". It matches the Rfam family "Bacterial small subunit ribosomal RNA", at positions 28 to 507 of the family's 1533-position model. The record is from RNAcentral.
GAUGAACGCUGACAGAAUGCUUAACACAUGCAAGUCUACCUGAACCUCGGUGUGGGUGGCGGCCGUGUGAGUGACGCGUAAAGAACUGGCCUCACAGUUAGGGACAACAUUUGGAAACGAAUGCUAAUACCUGAUAUUAUGAUUUUAGGGCAUCCUAGGAUUAUGAAAGCUAUAUGUGCUGUGAGAGAGCUUUGCGUCCCAUUAGCCAGUUGGAGAGGUAACGGCUCACGAAGGCGAUGAUGGGUAGCCGGCCUGAGAGGGUGAACGGCCACAAGGGGACUGAGACAGGGCCAUUACGGCUACGGGAGGCAGCAGUGGAGAAUAUUGGAAAAUGGACCAAAAGUCUGAUGCAGCAAUUCUGUGUGCACAAUGACGUUAGUCGGAAUGAAAAGAGCUUUCAGUUGGGAAGAAAAAAAUGACGGUACCAGCAGAAGAAGUGACGGCUAAAUACGUG